GUGUCUUAUAUUUAUAUAGGUACUUUGGCGCACGGAUACCUGCCGUUUACCUACAAACUGAAUCUAGAAUUUGGUAUAAUGGAGCGACGGCGCCCCCCGGUGGACAAUCGUAUGAACUACGACUAAAUCGAACGCGGGCUACUUUUGUUCAUUUUUAGUCGAAUCACAGAAUCAAUUAAAAUGGUCAAGAAAAAAUUAAACACAAAAAAAGGUUCCUAUAUAUACCAACGGAUAUUACAACACUUCCAUGUAAAAUAAAGCAAAAUUGACACUGAAACUGCUGGUUUCGUCUGCUCUAGUUUAGUUAACGUCGACUUUCUGGACGUCACAACGAAACUAUUGAAGUUCAUAAAGUUGGUGUCUGCAUUUUAUUUGUCGCCGACAGACAAAAACAUUGAAUUGGUGGAUUUCAAAGAACACCGUAAUUACACGAAGAAAACCAUAAAGACAUUAAGACGUCUAGCCAGCUGUGGGGUUUAUCGUAUCCCGUUCCUUCCUGUUUUAAAGUACUGUAUGCAAAAUCGUGGCAAUAGAUGGCGUUGCAAUUCAACACCUUCAGAAAACACAACAUGUUUUCCAGGAGCUUCUGCAAAAUGAGAACGGUUCUAAUUGAAGAAAUUCUCACAAUUGUUUAUAGUGGGAUAUCGAACUGCGACAGCGGCGUGAAAUUAAACAUAGCUGUACAUCUGUUUGUGCUUUGUGGUUGAUUAUUUCAUCCCUGUUCAGCAUCUUUCCAAUAAUACUUCGCGGUUGGUUGUAUUUUUAAUUUUCCCAUCCUGCUACAUGGUUUUGCAGGUGCUAUAUAUAUAUAUAUAUUUAAACAGUCUACUCAAACAUGAAGGUAGAAAUUAUGGAACACCUAUCAACAGU
This is a long non-coding RNA of Leucoraja erinaceus (little skate), 870 nucleotides long. RefSeq lists it as uncharacterized. The transcript is spliced from 3 exons. NCBI's taxonomy places the organism in Eukaryota, Metazoa, Chordata, Chondrichthyes, Rajiformes, Rajidae. The record is from RefSeq and is a predicted model, not a curated record.